Molecule: ribosomal RNA, 611 nt
Filed under: Sierola sp. IA-2018
Lineage: Eukaryota; Metazoa; Arthropoda; Insecta; Hymenoptera; Bethylidae
Description: eukaryotic LSU rRNA
Source: RNAcentral
GGGGAGAUUCAUCGUCAGCGGCGCAGGCUUCGCGAUGGCUCGCGAUGUCGGCGGACCUCGGUAAAACGGGGAUCCCGCACGGCACGCGGCCGUCGCGCAACGUCCGGCGACGUCGGCGUGCACUUCUCCCCUUGUAGAACGUCGCGACCCGUUGGGUGUCGGCCUAAGGCACGGGUGGGCGCCUGUCGCGUGUCGCCUCACGGCGCACGCGGCAGACCCCCGUACGCCAGUUUUACGCCGACUGCCCGACGGUACACGCAUGGUAUCGAGCCGCAAGUUUUUAACUGCGUCGGACCCGCCGCAAGCGCGGCCAGUUUUAAUGCCGGGAGUCGCGGACCUAGCGCCGUCCCUGGUGCUGGCCAGCUGUUGGUUGGCGGUGUUCUCCGACUGGCCGAAACUUAAACACAGAAUACCGGUCGGCGACGCUACUGCUUUGGGUAAUCUCAGGACCCGUCUUGAAACACGGACCAAGGAGUCUAACAUGUACGCGAGUCAUUGGGACCGCAUACCUAAAGGCGAAAUGAAAGUAAAGAUCGAUCUUAGCGUCGAUCGAGGGAGGAUGGGUCGCGUCACGAUGCGACCCCGCACUCCCGGGGCGUCUCGUUUCUCAU